GUGUAAUGCAAAAGCAAAUACAAACAUAUACUACUCAAACUCCCACUAACCCUGGGCGGCAGCAAUGGCUAUACUACACAUCUUCCCCAAUACAUACAAUAAAAACCAAUGAAACAAAAGUUACUAUCCCAAACCUCUAUGCACAUUUAAAUAAAUAGAGAAAAAUUCACAUAUGCAGAUAUUACUGACAAUAUGAUUAAACUGCUGCGUGUUUCUCUAUAUUAAAAAGCAUUAUUAUUUUAUUGUGGACUUGAAAUUAAUGUGUUUCAAUAAAUUGAAUAUUUU
Non-coding RNA from Pelobates cultripes (western spadefoot toad), 285 nucleotides. The record is from the annotation of a GenBank genome assembly. Lineage: Eukaryota; Metazoa; Chordata; Amphibia; Anura; Pelobatidae.